RNAcentral lists this transfer RNA (76 nucleotides) under bacterium. RNAcentral's name for it is "tRNA-Asn". It matches the Rfam family "tRNA". Rfam says of the family: Transfer RNA (tRNA) molecules are approximately 80 nucleotides in length. Their secondary structure includes four short double-helical elements and three loops (D, anti-codon, and T loops). Further hydrogen bonds mediate the characteristic L-shaped molecular structure. tRNAs have two regions of fundamental functional importance: the anti-codon, which is responsible for specific mRNA codon recognition, and the 3' end, to which the tRNAs corresponding amino acid is attached (by aminoacyl-tRNA synthetases). tRNAs cope with the degeneracy of the genetic code in two manners: having more than one tRNA (with a specific anti-codon) for a particular amino acid; and 'wobble' base-pairing, i.e. permitting non-standard base-pairing at the 3rd anti-codon position. RNAcentral also lists the same sequence under 4 other names. The record is from RNAcentral.
UCCCCCUUAGCUCAGUUGGUAGAGCGAGAGACUGUUAAUCUCCAGGUCCUAGGUUCGAGUCCUAGAGGGGGAGCCA